AGUACUGGACGAGAGUUCGCAGCCUUUUUUGCCAAGAAGAAACCACAAAGGCCAAAGAAUUCUCUUUUCAAGUUUGAAUCAUCCUCCCAUGCUAUCAGUAUGAGCGCCUAUCUCCGAGAACAGAGAAGGGAGCUGUACAGUCGGAGUGGAGAACUUCAAGUUCGUCAUUUCUUUGGAGAAGAAAGUUUUUCGUGUAUAGAGUAUGAGGUCCUGAUGACAACUUAAUUGAAGGUGGAGGAACAAAAUUUGUCUGCAAACCUGGAGCCAGAAAUAUUACCGUCAUAUUCCAUCCACUGCUGAGCCUACCAAGCCUACCUACUGUGAGCAGUUCCACCCCACUGACAGCUUGCACUGAGAAGAGGUCAUCUCAUCUGUUUCUCUCCCUGUUGAGCCAAAUGAGAAAAACAUAUGGAGACAUUUUUAUUGGAUAAAUUACUGAGCAUUUUAAUUUUCUUCAUAUAUUAGCAAAGAGUUGGUUAGUCCACAUGUUGAUUUCUGUACUUUAAGUUUUAUGACUGGAUGACUGGGAAAUGCCUUUAUCCUUCAAGAUUCCUAAGGCCUUAGAUAUUUAAAAUUAAAAAAUCAAAUGUC
This 591-nucleotide long non-coding RNA is filed under the name Rattus norvegicus (Norway rat). Its description in RNAcentral is "long non-coding RNA NONRATT020342". Lineage: Eukaryota; Metazoa; Chordata; Mammalia; Rodentia; Muridae. The record is from RNAcentral.